GUGAGCCACCGUGCCUGGCCUCGGCCUGGUAACUCUUAAGUUUUGCACCUUGAUGGUGACUUUAAGCCUUCAGGCAGAACUCCCAGGUGCUAAUCCGUCAGUCCUUGGGGCAGUCAGGCAGCCGAAGCCUGAGCUCACCACCUUCAGACACCACCAGCCUCCUUCAGAUGCCCAAGGAUGCCUGACAAAUGUCAUUUUCUACACAUCUUAUGAUGUGAGAAGGAUUGAGAAGUACUGACCAGAGACACAGCUACAUCCCUCCCUUCCACAAGCUGCAAUCAGUGGAUAAAAAAGAAGAGUUUAAUAAGCAUAUCCUGACCUUCCUAAAGUGUAAUGUUGCAUAAACAUAAAGAUUCUGGCUGCCUCUGGUGCUUAGAAUCUAUGUCGUGUAGGCAGGGCACAAUGAUUAUUAUACUCAGUUGUAUCCUUGGCUGCCUAAAGUGAUGCCAGGCCCUUGGCUCUGUCCAGAGUUCCUCUUGAGGAAAAUGACCACGCUCAGCUGCUGCCUUUGUUCUGUUUGGUUUUCAGACGAAAACAGCAACCAGAGUUCCGUGUCUGACGUCUAUCAGCUUAAGGUGGACAGCAGCACCAACUCAAGCCCCAGCCCCCAGCAGAGUGAGUCCCUGAGCCCAGCACACACCUCCGACUUCCGCACGGAUGACUCCCAGCCCCCAACGCUGGGCCAGGAGAUCCUGGAGGAGCCCUCCCUGCCCUCCUCGGAAGUUGCUGAUGAACCUCCUACCCUCACCAAGGAAGAACCAGUUCCACUAGAGACACAGGUCGUUGAGGAAGAGGAAGACUCAGGUGCUCCGCCCCUGAAGCGCUUCUGUGUGGACCAACCCACAGUGCCGCAGACGGCGUCAGAAAGCUAGCACCGUCCCGGCCCUCCGCCUCCUGGCCCUGCCUCUAUUUAUUGCAUUCUGGUUCUGGCCGCGCUGCGUUGCUGGGGUAAGGGCAAGCACUGGGGUCAAGAGCCUGCACACAUGAGCCUUCCGGGCUGGAAGGCUGGCGUAGGACUUGGGGCUGUAGCAUCAUCUUCCCGACCCUGGCACCUGUGUCUACUUGCUCCCGAGAAGAGGAGCGCUCAUGUCUUUUUUGCACCCCAAGUUGGCUGGAGCAUCGGCCACCCCAAGAUUCAUCUGUGACCUCCAGGCAGCAGUCUCUGCUCCAGAACCUCUGGACGGAGCUGCUGGCAGCUUCUGCGAGAAGAGAGAGAUGUGGAAGGCACCCUCUAGAAGAGAGUGUGCCUCAGGUUACUUGAACUUGAAUGGAGACUGUAGACUCCCGGACUUUCCCCUAGGACUGGGGGCCCUGUAGGCUGCUGUUGGAGAAGGACUGGGUAGAGACAUUGGAGGGAAGGGAAGGGCUUUUCUCCACACAAGGGCAGAGAGUCCGUCUAGAUUUCUUGCUGUCCUGCCAGUUCUGCCCAUGCCUGAGGUGGUCCUACCUCUCACGGGCACCCUAGCUGCUGACAGCCCUUUGUGGCCGCCGUCCCCAUCCCCUGCCCUCAGCACACACGUCCGCACACACGCAGCUUUCUUUGUUCUCACCUCUACCUGUCAUUCCAGCAUCCCUGCCUCCUGUCACAAACUGCCCCAGCAAGAAUUUGAGGUUCUGACAACAGUACCCAUCCCCCACAGUACCCCUUCAGCUCAGUUUCUAGAAAGCUCCCUUUUCUUUGAAAUCUGCAUGUUGAAUUGAACUUUGUGAUUUUAUUUUUUGUUUCAAAAAAGUUUAAGAAAAUGGAAAUGGGCAACAGUGAGUGAAGACAUAUUUUAGCACUGAAUAGAAUAUUUUUAAAAUUAAACUAUUUGAAAUAUG
Molecule: small RNA, 1821 nt
Filed under: Pan troglodytes (chimpanzee)
Lineage: Eukaryota; Metazoa; Chordata; Mammalia; Primates; Hominidae
Description: retained intron
Source: RNAcentral